GAUGGCACUUCAAAGAAUGGGAAUUGUUGAUAAUUAUGAAAGAAUACGGGAGUUCUCUGUUGCCAUUGUUGGAAUAGGUGGAGUGAGUUCCGUUGCAGCCGAAAUGUUAACAAGUGGAGUUGGCUAACAUGAAUAGGCUAUUCUUCCGUCCAGAGCAGAUUUUGAAAAAAAAAGGUCGCCAGAAAAAUCGCCUGCGGCAGCUGUCGGCAGCGGUAGAGUCAAAAGUGGCAAGGGCUGGUCAAAGUGGGUCUUGGGUCAUCCUGAUAGGCCUAUGUGAUCUUGAAAGUCUUCUUGAACAUGGUUAAAUUUCAAAAUCAAACAAGGCCCAAUCAUCAUAAAUUUAGUGGAACGGGGCAGAAGGCAUGAUCAGCAAGCACCUUCAUCCCUAUAAUUAAUUUUCUUUUUCGCUCUUUUGAAUAUUUCUCCGCAUCUAGAAGCUUAAGAGUGUUGUAAUUGAGGCCAAAGCUCAACUUGUUGGAAUCCAUGAGGAUAAUUCCAAUUCAAUCCUAUCGGAUAAUCUAAUGAACAACACAACCAGGAUUCAAACAUGUAGUAUCAAUGGCUAAUCCAAAUGCAGAAGAUGUUGCAUAGUUUCUCAGACAUUAUAAAUAACUACACUAGAAGAUUGUGGCCAAACGGGUACUGUCAGCAUGGGACGAGGUUGAUGCAGGACUGGCAAUUGGAGUCCAUAAAGAAUGUUCUUGAACAAACAAAGAUGAUCAUCGGAUUGCCCAUUAAAGUGAACUUCUCUAAGCUUGAAAAACACAUGCAUUGUUAGAAGACUAUCAGAUCCAGCUUGGUGGCUCUGGCCUGCAAUCCUCUCCACAUUUAGGAUUUCCGCUACUCGGCUUAAACCUCCAUAGAGCCCUUUGCAAAACUUCAUAAUAUGUUUCAAGUCAAAGAUAGCCUCCCCGAAAAUUUCCCUAACAGCACCCAUGAACAUGACCA
Impatiens glandulifera is the source of this 948-nucleotide long non-coding RNA. RefSeq lists it as uncharacterized. The record is from RefSeq and is a predicted model, not a curated record. The transcript is spliced from 5 exons. NCBI's taxonomy places the organism in Eukaryota, Viridiplantae, Streptophyta, Magnoliopsida, Ericales, Balsaminaceae.